Molecule: non-coding RNA, 147 nt
Filed under: Nomascus leucogenys (northern white-cheeked gibbon)
Lineage: Eukaryota; Metazoa; Chordata; Mammalia; Primates; Hylobatidae
Source: Rfam by way of RNAcentral
GCUGGGCAUGGUGGCGGGUGCCUGUAAUCCCAGUUACUUGGAGGCUGAGGUAGCAGAAUCACUUGGACCCGGGAGGUGGAGGUUGCAGUGAGCCAAGAUUGCGCCACUGCACUCCAGCCUGGGUGAUAGAGUGAGAAUCUGUCUCAA